GACGUUGGUGGGUGACGGACUCUCGGCCGCCCACGUCGGCGUUGUGGUGGCCACCGCGGCGGCCGGUUCGGUGGCGGUCAGCGUCG
Molecule: transfer RNA, 86 nt
Filed under: Actinoplanes regularis
Lineage: Bacteria; Bacillati; Actinomycetota; Actinomycetes; Micromonosporales; Micromonosporaceae
Description: tRNA-Gly
Source: RNAcentral